This 253-nucleotide ribosomal RNA is filed under the name uncultured bacterium. RNAcentral's name for it is "partial 16S ribosomal RNA". It matches the Rfam family "Bacterial small subunit ribosomal RNA", at positions 524 to 776 of the family's 1533-position model. The record is from RNAcentral.
UACGGAGGGUGCGAGCGUUAAUCGGAAUUACUGGGCGUAAAGCGUGCGUAGGCGGCCUGCCAAGCCAGGUGUGAAAGCCCCGGGCUCAACCUGGGAACGGCACUUGGAACUGGCAGGCUGGAGUUGGGUAGAGGGGAGCGGAAUUCCGGGUGUAGCGGUGAAAUGCGUAGAUAUCCGGAGGAACACCAGUGGCGAAGGCGGCUCCCUGGACCCAAACUGACGCUGAGGCACGAAAGCGUGGGUAGCAAACAGG